CCGAGUUUACAAACUCCCAAACCCUUUGUGAACCUUACCUAUCGUUGCUUCGGCGGGAUCGCCCCGGGCCGGCCCUUCACGGGGCCUCCGGAACCAGGCGCCCGCCGGAGAACCCAAACUCUUUGUUUUUAUGGUUUUCUCCUCUGAGUGGAUUAUGAACAAAUAAAUCA
RNAcentral lists this unclassified non-coding RNA (170 nucleotides) under soil metagenome. Its description in RNAcentral is "partial internal transcribed spacer 1". The record is from RNAcentral.